RNAcentral lists this ribosomal RNA (503 nucleotides) under uncultured bacterium. RNAcentral's name for it is "partial 16S ribosomal RNA". It matches the Rfam family "Bacterial small subunit ribosomal RNA", at positions 30 to 523 of the family's 1533-position model. The record is from RNAcentral.
AUUGAACGCUGGCGGCAGGCUUAACACAUGCAAGUCGAGCGGGGUGAUGGUGCUUGCACUAUCACUUAGCGGCGGACGGGUGAGUAAUGCUUAGGAAUCUGCCUAUUAGUGGGGGACAACAUCUCGAAAGGGAUGCUAAUACCGCAUACGUCCUACGGGAGAAAGCAGGGGAUCACUUGUGACCUUGCGCUAAUAGAUGAGCCUAAGUCGGAUUAGCUAGUUGGUGGGGUAAAGGCCUACCAAGGCGACGAUCUGUAGCGGGUCUGAGAGGAUGAUCCGCCACACUGGGACGGAGACCCGGCCCAGACUCCUACGGGAGGCAGCAGUGGGGAAUAUUGGACAAUGGGGGGAACCCUGAUCCAGCCAUGCCGCGUGUGUGGAGAAGGCCUUAUGGUUGUAAAGCACUUUAAGCGAGGAGGAGGCUCUUUUGGUUAAUACCCAAGAUGAGUGGACGUUACUCGCAGAAUAAGCACCGGCUAACUCUGUGCCAGCCGCCGCCGUAA